AUUGAACGCUGGCGACAUGCCUUACACAUGCAAGUCGAACGGCAGCACGGGUGCUUGCACCUGGUGGCGAGUGGCGAACGGGUGAGUAAUACAUCGGAACAUGUCCUGUAGUGGGGGAUAGCCCGGCGAAAGCCGGAUUAAUACCGCAUACGAUCUACGGAUGAAAGCGGGGGACCUUCGGGCCUCGCGCUAUAGGGUUGGCCGAUGGCUGAUUAGCUAGUUGGUGGGGUAAAGGCCUACCAAGGCGACGAUCAGUAGCUGGUCUGAGAGGACGACCAGCCACACUGGGACUGAGACACGGCCCAGACUCCUACGGGAGGCAGCAGUGGGGAAUGUUGGACAAUGGGCGAAAGCCUGAUCCAGCAAUGCCGCGUGUGUGAAGAAGGCCUUCGGGUUGUAAAGCACUUUUGUCCGGAAAGAAAUCCUUGGCCCUAAUACGGUCGGGGGAUGACGGUACCGGAAGAAUAAGCACCGGCUAACUACGUG
RNAcentral lists this ribosomal RNA (486 nucleotides) under uncultured bacterium. RNAcentral describes it as "partial 16S ribosomal RNA". It matches the Rfam family "Bacterial small subunit ribosomal RNA", at positions 30 to 507 of the family's 1533-position model. The record is from RNAcentral.